CUGUUCCUUCUCACUGCUUUCUGUGUGAUUCCACUGCCCACACUGAUGUUCUCAGCAACUUCUAUAACAUAUGUUCACGGUUGCAUUACUUUUGGAGCUCCAAUCGUUUGUCUAACAUGUUUAUAUAUCUCAAUAACAUGGACCCUGAAAUAAACAAAUGGUUUGCCUCCAGAACACUGCUAACACCCCAGAGUUCCUGAGGAAGUAUUAGGUUUAUUUUCACAGCCAAUUUCUGUCUUUUGACUGCCCUGGGUCCUGGCUUCAUUCCCAGAUCAGGUCUUAGCUCCUGCUAGGAGUCAACCAACUACUGAAAAUGCAGAGACUUAGAAACCAAAAGACCGGAAAAGAAGAGCUUGAAGAGCCAGCCCGCCAACAGGCUGUAUCUGGUUGGGGAGGCAGAACAGAGGCUCCUGCCAACCAUCAGAGGGAUUCCAGGACAGGCCUCAGAGCCCCUGAGACAAGCUACAGGAAGGUCAGGGGUGGAAAUGCUCUGAACUCAAUCCUGACUAUAACCUAACAGCAAUUUUUCUCAUUUGAUAUGUUCCAGGAGGUCCUAGCUUUAGUGAUAACUCCUGCCAUCAUCAGGUAAUAAAAGUCCUUUCUGCCUUGUUAACUGCCCCAGGAGAAUGUGAGUUGGCCUAGUGGCCUAAAAGUCUGUAUCCAGUGUGGAGGUAACCCUGAGAUAUAUAUAGGUUCCUAAUAAGAUAACAGGAUGGUCCUCAACCUCCUACACACUCUGAAAACCAGGCCUUUUAGAAAGUCCAAGAGCUUUACUAAACUAAGAGGGUUGCCCCAGGGUCACCUUUCUUAUGUUCACAGAUGCAGAGCAUUAAGCAAUAAAAGAACAAGAGAGGCAUGUUGGGCAAAUAACAUACAGAUGUAGUUGUCAUUUAGUCGCCAAGUAAUCUCAGACUCUUUCGUGACCCCAUGGACUGUGGCCUGCCAGGCUGCAGUCCAUGGGGUCGCUGAGAGUCAGACAUGACUGAGUGACUUCACUUUCAUUUUUCACUUUCAUGCAUUGGAGAAGGAAAUGGCAACCCACUCCAGUGUUCUUGCCUGGAGAAUCCCAGGGAUGGGGGAGCCUGGUGGGCUGCCGUCUCUGGGGUCACACAGAGUCGGACACGACUGAAGUGACUUAGCAGCAGCAGUAGUAGAGACUUGUUGAAAAUCUGAGUGUGACGUCCAUUUUACUGUCUUUAAGGCAUCCACCAAGGGCCUUCCUAUCCUUUCACAGCUGUUGUAGUCAUGAGCCAGAUAGAUAAGCUGCCUUUCUCAGGACUUGUGUCAUUCAAUUAAUGG
Molecule: long non-coding RNA, 1299 nt
Organism: Bos taurus (domestic cattle)
Lineage: Eukaryota; Metazoa; Chordata; Mammalia; Artiodactyla; Bovidae
Source: Ensembl